RNAcentral lists this unclassified non-coding RNA (220 nucleotides) under Hevea brasiliensis (rubber tree). Lineage: Eukaryota; Viridiplantae; Streptophyta; Magnoliopsida; Malpighiales; Euphorbiaceae. The record is from RNAcentral.
GGGGAUUUUCGUUUUUGGCUCAAUUUUUCUUGUGUACUUAAUGCAUACUAUAUGUUGAUACCCUCUUAGUAUUGAUUUUAAAUAUCAAUUGAAUGACUAAAAAGUGAAGAUUGAUAUUUGAUGAACUAGACUUUGAACUCAUGAUUCUUGAUUUAGAGAUAGACUUGAAUUCUAUAUGGAAUUAGUAAUUAAUCAAAGAACUUCACAGGCUUUAAUUGAU